GACGAACGCUGGCGGCGUGCUUAACACAUGCAAGUCGAACGGAAAGGCCCUGCUUUUGUGGGGUGCUCGAGUGGCGAACGGGUGAGUAACACGUGAGUAACCUGCCCUUGACUUUGGGAUAACUUCAGGAAACUGGGGCUAAUACCGGAUCGGAGCUCCUGCUGCAUGGUGGGGGUUGGAAAGUUUGGGCUGUUGGGGAUGGACUCGCGGCUGAUCAGCUUGUUGGUGGGGUAGUGGCUUACCAAGGCUUUGACGGGUAGCCGGCCUGAGAGGGUGACCGGCCACAUUGGGACUGGGAUACGGCCCAGACUCCUACGGGAGGCAGCAGUGGGGAAUAUUGUACAAUGGGCGGGAGCCUGAUGCAGCAACGCCGCGUGCGGGAUGACGGCCUUCGGGUUGUAAAACGCUUUCGCCUGUGACGAAGCGUGAGUGACGGUAAUGGGUAAAGAAGCACCGGCUAACUACGUG
RNAcentral lists this ribosomal RNA (468 nucleotides) under uncultured bacterium. RNAcentral describes it as "partial 16S ribosomal RNA". It matches the Rfam family "Bacterial small subunit ribosomal RNA", at positions 28 to 507 of the family's 1533-position model. The record is from RNAcentral.